This 588-nucleotide ribosomal RNA is filed under the name uncultured Pseudomonas sp. RNAcentral describes it as "bacterial SSU rRNA". It matches the Rfam family "Bacterial small subunit ribosomal RNA", at positions 126 to 709 of the family's 1533-position model. Lineage: Bacteria; Pseudomonadati; Pseudomonadota; Gammaproteobacteria; Pseudomonadales; Pseudomonadaceae. The record is from RNAcentral.
CUGCCUGGUAGUGGGGGAUAACGUCCGGAAACGGGCGCUAAUACCGCAUACGUCCUGAGGGAGAAAGUGGGGGAUCUUCGGACCUCACGCUAUCAGAUGAGCCUAGGUCGGAUUAGCUAGUUGGUGGGGUAAAGGCCUACCAAGGCGACGAUCCGUAACUGGUCUGAGAGGAUGAUCAGUCACACUGGAACUGAGACACGGUCCAGACUCCUACGGGAGGCAGCAGUGGGGAAUAUUGGACAAUGGGCGAAAGCCUGAUCCAGCCAUGCCGCGUGUGUGAAGAAGGUCUUCGGAUUGUAAAGCACUUUAAGUUGGGAGGAAGGGCAGUAAGUUAAUACCUUGCUGUUUUGACGUUACCAACAGAAUAAGCACCGGCUAACUUCGUGCCAGCAGCCGCGGUAAUACGAAGGGUGCAAGCGUUAAUCGGAAUUACUGGGCGUAAAGCGCGCGUAGGUGGUUCAGCAAGUUGGAUGUGAAAUCCCCGGGCUCAACCUGGGAACUGCAUCCAAAACUACUGAGCUAGAGUACGGUAGAGGGUGGUGGAAUUUCCUGUGUAGCGGUGAAAUGCGUAGAUAUAGGAAGGAACAC